This 506-nucleotide ribosomal RNA is filed under the name uncultured bacterium. Its description in RNAcentral is "partial 16S ribosomal RNA". It matches the Rfam family "Bacterial small subunit ribosomal RNA", at positions 29 to 523 of the family's 1533-position model. The record is from RNAcentral.
AGUGAACGCUGGCGGUAGGCCUAACACAUGCAAGUCGAACGGCAGCACAGGAGAGCUUGCUCUCUGGGUGGCGAGUGGCGGACGGGUGAGGAAUACAUCGGAAUCUACUCUGUCGUGGGGGAUAACGUAGGGAAACUUACGCUAAUACCGCAUACGACCUACGGGUGAAAGCAGGGGACCUUCGGGCCUUGCGCGAUUGAAUGAGCCGAUGUCGGAUUAGCUAGUUGGCGGGGUAAAGGCCCACCAAGGCGACGAUCCGUAGCUGGUCCGGGAGGAUGAUCAGCCACACUGGAACUGAGACACGGUCCAGACUCCUACGGGAGGCAGCAGUGGGGAAUAUUGGACAAUGGGCGCAAGCCUGAUCCAGCCAUACCGCGUGGGUGAAGAAGGCCUUCGGGUUGUAAAGCCCUUUUGUUGGGAAAGAAAUCCAGCUGGCUAAUACCCGGUUGGGAUGACGGUACCCAGAGAAUAAGCACCGGCUAACUUCGUGCCAGCCGCCGCGGUAA